Molecule: non-coding RNA, 205 nt
Organism: Oryza nivara
Lineage: Eukaryota; Viridiplantae; Streptophyta; Magnoliopsida; Poales; Poaceae
Source: Rfam
AAAAAGGCAAAUCCUAACUUUCCGUGUCCAACUUUAACUAUCCGUCUUAUAUGAAAUUGUUUUAUAAUUCGUAUUUUCAUUGUUGUUAGAUGAUAAAACAUGAUUAAUAUUUUAUGUGUGACUUGUCUUUUUAAUUUUUUUUAUAUUUUUUUUAAAUAAGACGGACGGUCAAAUAUUGGAUACGGAAACCAGGGUUUGUCUUUUU